GCCUACAGCCACACCACCCUGAUAGCGCCUGAUCUCAAAAGCCAUCCAGGGCCGGGCCUGGUUAGUACCUGGAUGCGAGAUGCCUGUGAAUACCAGGUGUCAUAGGCU
Molecule: ribosomal RNA, 108 nt
Filed under: Xenopus laevis (African clawed frog)
Lineage: Eukaryota; Metazoa; Chordata; Amphibia; Anura; Pipidae
Source: RNAcentral